Small nucleolar RNA from Octodon degus (degu), 138 nucleotides. The record is from Ensembl. Lineage: Eukaryota; Metazoa; Chordata; Mammalia; Rodentia; Octodontidae.
UGCACUGUAUGGUAUCUGCACUCAACAGUUAUUCCUGAUGGUGUGUUCAAAAGACAGUGCCAUAGAAAUUCAGUAUCUGGCAUCGUUGGUUUUCAUGUCUUUGUGCAUGUUAAACCUGGUAUUUCUAUUGAUACAUUA